Molecule: ribosomal RNA, 433 nt
Filed under: uncultured bacterium
Lineage: Bacteria
Description: partial 16S ribosomal RNA
Rfam family: Bacterial small subunit ribosomal RNA
Source: RNAcentral
AACGAACGCUGGCGGCAUGCCUAACACAUGCAAGUCGAACGAUCCCUUCGGGGAUAGUGGCGCACGGGUGCGUAACGCGUGGGAACCUGCCCUUAGGUUCGGAAUAACUCAGAGAAAUUUGAGCUAAUACCGGAUAAUGUCUUCGGACCAAAGAUUUAUCGCCUUUGGAUGGGCCCGCGUUGGAUUAGCUAGUUGGUGGGGUAAAGGCCUACCAAGGCGACGAUUCAUAGCUGGUCUGAGAGGAUGAUCAGCCACACUGGGACUGAGACACGGCCCAGACUCCUACGGGAGGCAGCAGUGGGGAAUAUUGGACAAUGGGCGAAAGCCUGAUCCAGCAAUGCCGCGUGAGUGAUGAAGGCCUUAGGGUUGUAAAGCUCUUUUACCCGGGAUGAUAAUGACAGUACCGGGAGAAUAAGCCCCGGCUAACUCCGUG